CCACCUGCCGCCCCUCCCGUCCCUCGGACCCCGCCCCCCAAGCCUGACGUCACGCUACUGUGACGUUUGGCAAGCGCCAGAGUGACGUCACGCCUGCCCUUGGCUGGACAACGAAGAACUGCAGGUUUCCCUGCAGCCGUGCCCUGUCCAGGACCAGCCCCAGCAUGGAAUCAUCACAUGCCCUCUAUGAUCAUGGAGUCCAGCCAUUGACUUAACACCGAUAUGGCCACUAAACCGUGUCCUUUAACACCUCCAGGCACGAUGACUUCACCACCUCCCUGGGCAGCCUGUUCCUAUGUUUGGCCAUUUGUUCAGCAGAGACAUUUUUCUUCAGUUGUCCAGCCUAAACCUCCCCUGGUGCAGGUGGAGGCUGUCUGCUCUUGUUUCAUCACUUGGUACUACAGGGAAGAGGACAAAACCCACCUCACUGCAACCUCUUUUCAGUGAGUUGCAGAGAGUGAGAAGGUCCACCCUAAGCCUCCUUUUCUUCAGCCUAAACAAUCCCAGUUCCCUCAGGAGCUCCUCAUAAGCCUUGCUCUUCAAACCCUUCACCACGCACGCAGAAGGGCUUUCUGUCGCACCCUAGAAAGCGUCUGGCAGAGUCUUGUCAGACAUAGCAGUGGGUGUCCAGCAGCACAGCAUUCCUGUGCAGGUUCAGGUUCAGGCACUGACCUUGCUAGGAGUUCAAUAGAAGAUGAAAGUGAGGGUUGUGCUAUGCAGGGGAAGAUGUGAUGGGUCUGACUGCAAACAACAGAGAUCUAGAGGCUAUAGAGGGUAGGACAAUGAUGAUAGUUUAUUUUCCAGAUACAAAAGUGAUGUGGACUCACUUCUCUGCACUCAGCACUUUUCAGGAUAAGUGCUCAGCACAAGAAUUUCUAUCUCUGAGAGGCUUCCUUCAAACUCUGUGUGUCUUUAUAAGUUGAGAAAAGCUCAUAAACCUUGUGAAGAAAGUUGCAGUAAAAUUAGAAGUGUGAGAGCCAGCUGGGUUGCAGUGAUUUACAGCAGACUGCAUCAGGUUCCAGGUUGUCUCCUGGCUGGAUUAGGAAACUAAAAGCAGAUAAUCCUUGAAUGCAGAGUUAGUAAGAGCCUCUGCCCCACUGUGUCAUAGCCACAGCAGGCAUGAAGUCCCAGGGAGAACUGAAGCAGGAGGACAUGGAUGGGCAAGAAGGUUUCAGCAUAGGGGGAUUCAGGUGGCAUUGAGGAUCAGAGACAUCUUGUGUCUGCUAAGCCUCUGUGAGCAAUGGUGUUAAUCUCUCCUUGAGUUUAAAGGUGUUUGUUAAGUUAUUCUGCUUGGCCUUCCUUUUUUUCUUCAGUUUGGGAUUUUGGUGCUACAGAGAGAUGGAUUUUGGGAGCAUAUCUCUAUCCCUAUGCUCACAAGGGGCUGUGUGUCAGCACUGACCAUCAGGAUAUUCUCCUUUACAAUCCAGAGUGCAAGAAACCUCCUUUAGGUCUGCAGUGUCUCAUUUCUCACUGUAACAUUAGGAUGAUGGGGACCUUGCAGUUCAGGAACACCAUCAAAAAUUUAAUUCAUGGCCUUUCCUCAGGGCUUUGAGCCCACUAAAUGAAGUCACUGCACAAUUCAAAGAAACAUUUGAGGAUGCUGCUAACUGAUGCCUUCUAAUUCUGAUGCCAUCAUAUCAUCUUAUCUAAAAUGACCCCACUUGUGUUCUAUCAGUGCAGCACAACCAACUCCACCAGACUAGGUAAACCAGAGAAGAGGCUUUUCCACCUGUGCUUUUCCUCAUCUCAGAUGCAGAAGCUGCUUGGCCCUGCACUGAGAACUGCUCACACCUGGACAGCCAGGCCUCCUGCUCAUUUCAAGCAGUGCAAGAGACAAUUAAAUAAACCCAAGGAUUUUAGCUUGGCUUAGAAAUUUAGGUCCCAGAUUAUUCUGCAGCUGCCAAACUCCCAGCAAUGACUUAAGAGCAAGACUAAUUACUUUAAUGAAUCAGAUAUAACAAAUUGGAUAAGGCCCUGAAGAAUGUUCUUUUGAGCCCACAUUGGCAGAUGGCUGAGGUGGCUUGAUAGAGGAGUAGGCUUGCUAACAGUGCUUUGGGCACAAAAAAAAGCAACCAACAAACAAACAAUUAGAGACAACUUAGGGAAAAAACCCUUAUUGCUAAGACUAGAAUCUCAUCAAGACCUAGAAGCACAAAGAUAUAGGAGACUGAAGGACUUCAGCUAUGCAGCUCCCAGGGAGAAGGGUUUAUCAGGAGACACAGCUCUUCCUCCUUCUGAACCAACAUUUCCUGUGAUUGCAGCAAUGAUUGCCAAGAUAUUCUGGGGUGCGCAAUUUAACAUGCAGCAAGCAUAUUGGACAGAGAUGCUAUUUCCCUCCCCCCACCCCCCCACUAGUGAUUACUCUUUCCCUCAUUUGUGGUACCUUCACUUCUAAUCCUAAUAUUUUUAUUUCUUUUGGCCUACAAGUACCAUUUUAAAUGAUUCUCCCAUCAGCAAUGUUACCCAAACCACAGCCUGAGGAUCUCUAGCUGAUGGUACGGAGCAGCAAUGUAGGUUGUUAUCUCCAUAAGUAGGCAAAAAAUUGCCACCUGACUCAGCAGAGUUCCCAGUUUGGAAGACUUCCCCAACAAUUUGUGCAUUCAUUUGAAGAGGGAAGGAAGCAGUCAAUGCUGCUAUUCAAAAAAUAUUAGAUAGACAUGUGACUUAUUUUUGAAGAAAGU
This is a long non-coding RNA of Pogoniulus pusillus (Red-fronted tinkerbird), 2681 nucleotides long. RefSeq lists it as uncharacterized. The record is from RefSeq and is a predicted model, not a curated record. The transcript has 2 exons. NCBI's taxonomy places the organism in Eukaryota, Metazoa, Chordata, Aves, Piciformes, Lybiidae.